GGCGGCGUAGCUUAGCUGGUUAUAGCGUGCGGUUCAUACCCGCAAGGUCGCUGGUUCGAGUCCAGCCGCCGCUACCA
RNAcentral lists this transfer RNA (77 nucleotides) under Peptococcaceae bacterium. RNAcentral's name for it is "tRNA-Met". It matches the Rfam family "tRNA". From Rfam's summary of the family: Transfer RNA (tRNA) molecules are approximately 80 nucleotides in length. Their secondary structure includes four short double-helical elements and three loops (D, anti-codon, and T loops). Lineage: Bacteria; Bacillati; Bacillota; Clostridia; Eubacteriales; Peptococcaceae. RNAcentral also lists the same sequence under 1 other name. The record is from RNAcentral.